RNAcentral lists this ribosomal RNA (253 nucleotides) under uncultured bacterium. Its description in RNAcentral is "partial 16S ribosomal RNA". It matches the Rfam family "Bacterial small subunit ribosomal RNA", at positions 524 to 776 of the family's 1533-position model. The record is from RNAcentral.
UACGAAGGGAGCUAGCGUUGUUCGGAUUUACUGGGCGUAAAGGGCGCGUAGGCGGUUUAGUAAGUUGGAUGUGAAAGCCCUGGGCUCAACCCGGGAAUUGCAUUCAAAACUACUUGACUAGAAUUUGGUAGAGGUUGGUAGAAUUCCCAGUGUAGAGGUGAAAUUCGUAGAUAUUGGGAAGAAUACCCGUGGCGAAGGCGGCCAACUGGACCAACAUUGACGCUGAGGCGCGAAAGCGUGGGUAGCAAACAGG